This 1242-nucleotide ribosomal RNA is filed under the name Bipteria vetusta. RNAcentral's name for it is "SSU rRNA". It matches the Rfam family "Eukaryotic small subunit ribosomal RNA", at positions 319 to 1612 of the family's 1831-position model. Lineage: Eukaryota; Metazoa; Cnidaria; Myxozoa; Bivalvulida; Sinuolineidae. The record is from RNAcentral.
UUCUUGUUGGUAAGGUAGUGGCCUACCAAGGUGAUAACGGGUAACGGGGAAUCAGGGUUCGAUUCCGGAGAGGGAGCCUGAGAGACGGCUACCACGUCCAAGGACGGCAGCAGGCGCGCAAAUUACCCAAUCCAGACGUUGGGAGGUAGUGACGAGAAAUACAGGGGCAUGUCUUAAAGGCGUGCGACCUGAAUGAACGUAACCUGGAUCCUUCGUUGAGGAUCGACUGGAGGGCAAGUCUGGUGCCAGCAGCCGCGGUAAUUCCAGCUCCAGUAGUGUAUAUCAAAAUUGUUGCGAUUAAAACGCUCGUAGUUGAAUUACAAAGGUGUGGUCGAGUCCAAGUGAGUUGGAGUAGACGGGACCUUUUUAUCGCAAGCUUGGUCGGUCCACUUUGGUGUGGGAGGCCAUUACUUGUGGAGUGUGCCUUGAAUAAAACAUAGUGCUCAAAGCAGGCAGUUGCUCGAAUGGGAUAGCAUGGAACGAAUAGAUUGAUUACGGUUCAGUUGUUGGUUAUCUGAACCGGGUCCUGGUUGAUAGGGACAUUUGAGGGCAUUAGUACUCGGUGGCGAGAGGUGAAAUUCUGAGACCCACUGAAGACUGACAAUUGCGAAAGCAUUUGCCCAAGGUGUUUUCGUUGAUCAAGAACGAAAGUCGGAGGUUCGAAGACGAUCAGAUACCGUCCUAGUUCCGACUAUAAACUAUGCCAUCACGGGAUCAGUCCGGCUUGACCCUGAUUGGUCCCCCCGGGAAACCUGUAGUUAUCUGGUUUCGGGGGGAGUAUUGUCGCAAGGCCGAAACUUGAAGGAAUUGACGGAAGGGCACCACCAGGAGUGGAGCCUGCGGCUUAAUUUGACUCAACACGGGGCAACUCACCAGGUCCAGACAUUGAAAGGAUUGACAGACUGAGAGACCUUUCAUGAUACAUUGGUUGGUGGUGCAUGGCCGUUCUUAGUUGGUGGAGUGAUCUGUCAGGUUUAUUCCGGUAACGAGCGAGACCACGACCUUUAGUUCAUAGGGGUGUGUGCACUGGUUGUGUGCACCUAUGCUAGAGGGACAACCGAAUAUUAAAGUCGGAGGAGGCGUGGCAAUAACAGGUCUGUGAUGCCCUUCGAUGUUCUGGGCUGCACGCGCGCUACAAUGGCAGCGACAACGAGAGUCUGUUCCGAGAGGGGUGGGUAACCUUGUGAAUCGCUGUCGUGAUGGGGAUUGAGCCUUGUAAUUAUUGCUCAUGAAAGAGGAAUC